UACGUAGGCAGCAAGCGUUGUUCGGAGUUACUGGGCGUAAAGGGUGCGUAGGCGGCCCUGUAAGUAUGGUGUGAAAUCUCCCGGCUUAACUGGGAGGGUGCGCUAUAGACUGCGGGGCUCGAGUGUGGGAGAGGAAAGUGGAAUUCCUGGUGUAGCGGUGAAAUGCGUAGAUAUCAGGAGGAACACCGGUGGUGUAAACGGCUUUCUGGACCAUAAACUGACGCUGAGGCACGAAAGCGUGGGUAGCAAACAGG
This 254-nucleotide ribosomal RNA is filed under the name uncultured bacterium. RNAcentral describes it as "partial 16S ribosomal RNA". It matches the Rfam family "Bacterial small subunit ribosomal RNA", at positions 524 to 776 of the family's 1533-position model. The record is from RNAcentral.